Long non-coding RNA from Leopardus geoffroyi (Geoffroy's cat), 733 nucleotides. RefSeq lists it as uncharacterized. The transcript has 3 exons. The record is from RefSeq and is a predicted model, not a curated record. Lineage: Eukaryota; Metazoa; Chordata; Mammalia; Carnivora; Felidae.
GCGCUCCCGCUCCCAGGUCCGGGAGGAAAUGGGAGCAGUGUUUGUUCAAAUGUAAAUGUGUGAGCUGCGGUGGAAGAGAAGUAGGGGGCGGUCAAGGCCGCGUGACUCCAGGCCGAGGUCGCUCUGGGAGCCAGGAGAGCUUGGGGCCGUAGAAGAAUGCGGUGACUCCAGGAGUGCGCCGCGUUUCCACGGGAGAGGAGCGCGCAGGGUGUCCAGCACGCAGGUUCUAAUAUUGCAUUUACUGGAUGUAGAAACGAAAGCUCACGGAAGCUUUUUGACUUCUCCAAGGCCACACAGCUUAGAGGGGAGAACCGAGGUUCAGAUCCAGACGGUCCGGCUCCAGAAACCACACACUUGACUGCUCCGCCAUACACUCCCCAGCUGAGAGGAGAAGCUGAAUUUUAGAGCCACCCUUGCAUUUUACAGCUAAAGAGAUGAAGCCCAGGGAGAGAGAGUGAUUUCUGCCUUCGACUGCCCGGCUUCGGGGACCCCGGGCCCACUCCGGGCCCCCCGGGCCCAGACCUGGGCCCUGCAGCAGCAGCAGAGCCGAGAAGAGGAGCGGCCGCAGCAGCGCCAGGGUGAGCCCCUAGGAGCGUCCCCUGCUCCGCGGCUGGGGAGUGAGAGGGAAACACCGGGCUUGGGGGAGACACGAGGCCAGCCUCUGGUGGCGGAAGGAAGGGAAGCCCUGUAGAGCCCUGUUGAGGAUGCCCCUGCGCGCCACCUCCCCCCCCAC